This 497-nucleotide ribosomal RNA is filed under the name uncultured bacterium. RNAcentral describes it as "partial 16S ribosomal RNA". It matches the Rfam family "Bacterial small subunit ribosomal RNA", at positions 28 to 507 of the family's 1533-position model. The record is from RNAcentral.
GAUGAACGCUGGCGGCGUGCCUAAUACAUGCAAGUCGAGCGAACAGACGAGGAGCUUGCUCCUCUGACGUUAGCGGCGGACGGGUGAGUAACACGUGGAUAACCUACCUAUAAGACUGGGAUAACUUCGGGAAACCGGAGCUAAUACCGGAUAAUAUAUUGAACCGCAUGGUUCAAUAGUGAAAGACGGUUUUGCUGUCACUUAUAGAUGGAUCCGCGCCGCAUUAGCUAGUUGGUAAGGUAACGGCUUACCAAGGCAACGAUGCGUAGCCGACCUGAGGGGGAGAUCGGCCACCCUGGAAGUGAGGCACGGUCCAGACUCCUACGGGAGGCAGCAGUAGGGAAUCUUCCGCGAUGGGCGAGAGCCUGACGGAGCAACGCCGCGUGAGUGAUGAAGGUCUUCGGAUCGUAAAACUCUGUUAUUAGGGAAGAACAAAUGUGUAAGUAACUAUGCACGUCUUGACGGUACCUAAUCAGAAAGCCACGGCUAACUACGUG